UCUGUUUCCCAGCUGCCCUUGCUGAAGGCACUGAUUGACAGGCUGCUGCAGGACGGCAUGGAGGAGCUUCUGCUGGAGCUAACCACCUCUAGGAGAGUCAAUGAGAAGGAGAAACACGGCUCCAACAUUAUCACUGACUACACAAGAACUGUAAAGUAUGAGAUGUCCAAGGAACCUCUGACAGAGAUGGACACCAUAGAGGAGGCAGUUGAUUCUGACCUAGACAGACAGCUACCAGAACCUAACUCUGAUGCUUUGGAUGAAACGGCGGAGGGCCCCACAUUCUGGAGCCUCACCACUCUUAAUGGUCUUAAUGGGGUCCAAGACGUGGGGAGGAUAGAGAGCACCUCUGAGGGGACACUGACAGUGGACGAGGACUUCAGUGAAGCUCCCUCGCCCAAGUUGACUUUAUCAAACUCAACAUUUAACAACACUACGUCUGAAGAGAGGGUCUCUGAGGUACCAGGGGCAAUAGUAGAAACUGUUCUCCUCAGUGGGGAAGACUCCUUGAAGAAAAAGAAGAGUCGAGAACGGAAGGGCAAGGGACAGAAAGGACGACAUAAGAGGCAAAGAGAACGUCUGACGAGUACGGAGGAGGAGGAGGAAGCGGAGGAGGAAGCGGAGGAGGAGGAAUUAUACGAUGGGGAAGAGUACAGUUAUGAAUAUGAGGAUUCCACAGAUGAUCCUUUAUUGUCAAUGGAAAAGCAAGGGGAGUUUCAAAUCACAACAGAAAGCACACUACAUGGAAUGAGCAAAGAGAGUGGCCUGACAACUUUAGGUCCAUAUCCAUCCCAGUCACCGGGUGACAGUGAAAAGCAGGGGGAAUUCAUCACACCUAUCCUUCCCAGCACAACGGAAGAAACAGAGAAGGACCUUUCCUUAAUCCACAAAGAUUGAGACUGUAGAUUUGUAAGCACGGAGUGUUUGUAUAUACUGUGAAGUGAAGUGUAUUGCUGGUGAGGAGCAGUCUACCCUUAACCUGACCAGCAUAACAUGAGGAGGGACUUCGCUUCGUCGCACAAUGAUGAUGUCAUUUGUCCAAUGUCACUCGUUCAAUUGCCACGUCUAUGACCAGAAUCUUUUCUUAUACUUAGUACAAGUACCUAAAAGAUGAACAAUACAUAGGUAAAGCUAAGUUAAAUCAAGACAGUGUAUUAUAUAACGAUUAUUGGACAAAUACAUUCUUCCAUCAGAUGUCAGUGUUAUUUUAGCGUUGACUUUGCAUAAACUAAUUUAUUUAUUAAAGAAGUUCAAAAUGUUACGUUGGACCUAAGCUAUAGUAUAGCUUCUCUCUGUCGCUUCAGUAUUCCAACACUUUUACCUCCUCGUAAUUUGUUCAACCAUAUUCUAAUGUUUUCAGUGUAUCGCUGCUUAUCAAUUCCUCAACCAAACGUUAUUUAUUGAAAACAUGGAAAUAGAUUGUAUUUUGUUCCUUUUCUGUAUUAGUUACUACUUUUUCCAAUGAAAUGUGUUUCCAUCAUAUUCUUCAGAAUGUAUAGUAUUGAAACCUGUUUUCACUGGUGAAAUUUUGGCAAUCUAAAGUUCUCCCUUUGUAUUUAACCUCUCU
Long non-coding RNA from Salmo trutta (river trout), 1567 nucleotides. NCBI's taxonomy places the organism in Eukaryota, Metazoa, Chordata, Actinopteri, Salmoniformes, Salmonidae. The record is from Ensembl.